CCUACGGGGGGCAGCAGUGAGGAAUAUUGGUCAAUGGCCGGAAGGCUGCACCAGCCAAGCCGCGUGAAGGACGAAGGUGCCAAGCAUUGUAAACUUCUUUUGUCAAGGGACAAAAUCAGGCUCGAGAGCCUGACCGAGGGUACUUGAAGAACAAGCAUCGGCUAACUCCGUGCCAGCAGCCGCGGUAAUACGGAGGAUGCGAGCGGUAUCCGGAUUUAUGGGGUUUAAAGGGUGCGUAGGCGGGCUGUUAAGUCAGCGGUAAAAGCCCGGGGCUCAACCCCGGCGAGCCGUUGAAACUGGCUGUCUUGAGAUGUCGAGAGGUAUGCGGAAUGCGCAGUGUAGCGGUGAAAUGCUUAGAUAGUGCGCAGAACUCCGAUUGCGAAGGCAGCAUACCGGCGGCGAUCUGACGCUGAGGCACGAAAGCGUGGGUAUCGAACAGGAUUAGAUACCCGAGUAGUC
RNAcentral lists this ribosomal RNA (459 nucleotides) under uncultured bacterium. RNAcentral's name for it is "partial 16S ribosomal RNA". It matches the Rfam family "Bacterial small subunit ribosomal RNA", at positions 338 to 795 of the family's 1533-position model. The record is from RNAcentral.